RNAcentral lists this long non-coding RNA (358 nucleotides) under Heterocephalus glaber (naked mole-rat). RNAcentral describes it as "lncRNA (ENSHGLG00100040056.1)". The record is from RNAcentral. Lineage: Eukaryota; Metazoa; Chordata; Mammalia; Rodentia; Bathyergidae.
CAAAUAUCAAGCGACAGUCCUGUCCUAGGGAGUCCAUAGUCACCUGGGCUCUUGAAGCAGGAGCCUGCCCGGGUGGCUACCGAGCCCUCGGACCAGAUACACCUGAAGCCCCCUGGCCGCCCCCCAGCUGGGAAAGGUGGCAGAACCAGAGCUAAAUCCCCAGCUGAAUCAUCUUUUACUUCAUGGUUUUUCAUACCCGAAUAAUGUUACUCAUGGGCUUCUAACAGGUAAAGAUAACUUAUAUGGAGGAUGCUGUGUAUUCUGGCAAGAAAUGGACCACUUAUGCCAGGGGAGCCUUGGAAAUCCCCACUCUUCCAGGCAACACUUGGCCAUCUGCCUGCAUGGCCUAACACAAGAG